RNAcentral lists this unclassified non-coding RNA (200 nucleotides) under soil metagenome. Its description in RNAcentral is "partial contains internal transcribed spacer 2 and large subunit ribosomal RNA". The record is from RNAcentral.
CUGUUCGAGCGUCAUUUAUACCAAUCAAGCCUGGCUUGGUGUUGAGGUCCGCUCACCAGCGGCUUCUAAAUGCAGUGGCGGUGCCGUUGGGCUCUCAGCGUAGUAAUACUCCUCGCUGUAGGGUCCCGCGGUCGCUUGCCAGCAACCCCAAAUUUUUAAAGGUUGACCUCGGAUCAGGUAGGGAUACCCGCUGAACUUAA